AGCGAGGGGCUGAGGCUCGACCAUGGCUGUCGCCCGAGGGCGACCGAGAGUCAGGCUAGCUGGUGGGGGCGUGUGAGGGCGGCUUUGCCUCCGCCUCUGCUCACUUCCUUUCUCAGGAAUGGUGGGCGCCGUCCCCACCCCUCACUGGCAGUGACGGUGGACAACAAAGGGGCUCGGGGUGGCGGCCAGACAAAGAGUUGCAGCGCCGGGGGAAGUUGGGAACAAAGGUAGGGGGCUGGGAGCUUCAGGGAGACGCGCUACAAGAACCCCAAAGCAGAAAGUGCCUUUGUCUCCUGGGCUGCCCAAACUUGCGGAAAGCCGGGUGGUCCUACCUCACCCGCCGCCCACCUGGGCCUGAUCGGCCGCGCUGGGACGAUGCCCUCACCGCGCAUCCAGCUGAGAGGGAAACAGGUCGGACCUGGGCAGCGCCCGAGGGAAAGCCUGGGUAGCCAGCGGCCGGCAUGUAAAGGCCCCGCCUCCUCAAAGGAAAGGCUGCUGGACCCAUGGAACAUGCCAGAAGAGAGGAGCAGACAGAUCUUAACAGAUGGAGACCAUUAAAGAAAACCAAACCAAGCCAGGCAUUGGUGGCACACGCCUUAAAUCCCAGCAAUCGGGAGGCAGAGGCAGGUGGAUUUCUGAGUUCGAGGCCAGCCUGGUCUACACAGUGAGUUCCAGGACAACCAGGGCUACACAGAGAAACCCUGUCUCGGAAAAAAAAGAAAGAAAGAAAGAAAGAAAGAAAGAAAGAAAGAAAGAAAGAAAGAAAGAAAGAAAGAAAGAAAGAAAGAAAGAAAGAAAGAAAGAAAGAAAGAAAACCAAAACCAAUCAAAACGCAGGUAUGGAGACCAGUUCCAAUGGACAGAUGGACCUCUAAGGUUCAAGGAGCUCUGUGGAAGGGGGUGGGGGUGGGGGGAGUAGAGAUUGUUAGAGCCAGAGGAACAGAAGUUUGGUGUUAUAAGAUUGUGUUUCCUAGGAAUGUCAGAAGCUACACACAUAAAGUCUCACCAACAUGGCUACCUAAAGGUGACCUGAACAAGGACAAUACCAACGAUAGCCAUGUUAACACAGAGGGGGAGGGAGCAAAAGAGGCCUCAGCCCUAGACUAAAGAAGAACUAAAGCAACUGAGGAGUACUGAGAGUGGAAGAAACAGUCUGCCCCAGAGAAGAGAGAGCAUGCCGGCUGGUUGUCCAGCACCAAGCAGUCAGCCCAGAAAACAUGCAUACAAGGAACAUUAUAGAUUGUAUUUAUGUACUAUGCAUUGUAGCCUCCCCAGCCUUGAGCAGGCUGAUUCAGACCUGUUCUGCCACUGUGAAUGAGACCACCUAGGGUGGAGUCUUCUGACCUAGAUAGGUCUAUUGUUCCGUCACCUGCACUGCUCUCCUCCAAGAUGCGGCUUCCUGCUGAGAGGCUGAACCUGUCUUCCUGAGAUAUUCCUGAGAUAAGAUGACAAGAUGGUGACUGACAACCUGUCCAUUGGUGACCUAGUGCUAACAACUUGGCAACAAAGCAUAAAGAUGCCUGGCGUGGCAGGGGAUGGGCCUCCUCCUUUAUAAGCACAGACUCUUAGUAAACAUUCGGCCUUGAUCA
This 1588-nucleotide long non-coding RNA is filed under the name Mus musculus (house mouse). Its description in RNAcentral is "RIKEN cDNA 2900060N12 gene, transcript variant 2 (2900060N12Rik)". The record is from RNAcentral. Lineage: Eukaryota; Metazoa; Chordata; Mammalia; Rodentia; Muridae.